RNAcentral lists this long non-coding RNA (4039 nucleotides) under Triticum aestivum (bread wheat). RNAcentral's name for it is "long non-coding RNA (TAES_LNC004425)". The stretch from base 1872 to 2006 matches the Rfam family "MIR1120/MIR1122 microRNA precursor family". The record is from RNAcentral. Lineage: Eukaryota; Viridiplantae; Streptophyta; Magnoliopsida; Poales; Poaceae.
AGUAAUAUGAUAGUGGUGGUAAUCUAUUUAUAUAUAAAAAGUAUUUGAUGGGUUAACCAGAAAAAAGAGAAUAUGCUAAAAAAUUCCCACAAAAAUUAGAAACAUCUGACCAUUAAACUUUUAAGUCAUGUAAUUACAACCAUUAGAUCAUCCAAAGUCUUACUUGGUCAAAAUUACCCACCUAUGCCAUGGAAACAUAUACUUAUGACCUAGAAUAUUGUUCUCCCCGUCCUAGAUUGAAAAGAAAAAUAUCCCUAUUCCAUGUUGUCAAAUCGCCGCCAGACGGCGGCCGUCCUCCCGUACGUGAUUGAGAAGGGUGCCCGUUCCAUGAGUUUAUCAAGUUGCCGCCGGCCGAUUGGUCGUCCUCCCGUCCGUAAAUGAAAAGAAGAAAAUCAUAUCCCAGUUGUCAAGUCGCCGACGGCUGGCUGCGCCUAAGGCAUGGUCGCUUGAGCAGCCAUGCACCGCUGGCUCUCUGGAGCAGAUGAUUACUUCAUUCUAAUAAGGUCUUGCUCCUAGCUACAAUCUGCGUGCUUGAUGAUUGAAAAGCAAUAGCGGUGAAAUCAAGUUGAUCUAUGUUUGUUAAAAAAAAGGUUAAUCUACAUCUCGGUGGCUAUCCAUCAUGCAUCUCAACUCAGCAGAUCGGCAUUUUAUCAUAUACCAUACACCUCAACUCAGCAGAUCAGUAGGUUACACACGAUUGAUGGGCUCAAAGCCUAUCCUUCAUGCACGCUAGCACCGUCGGGUGAAUAGAGUUGUGCAUGCCCACUGUCAGCCAGCUAGAGGGAGAUUAGAAGACCAACCAUGUGAGAGUUGAGACUUGAGAUACACACCAUACACAUACCCUGUAAGUGGCCAUAAUUCGACCUCUUCAUCAAGGACGAUAUUGAGGUUGGAGCUUUACUACUCUUUCCCGCCAACAGCGAGGUAACAUUUCCUUUUUCUCUCCCCACGUCCAAUCCAAUCGUUCCCAGUUCAUGUAACUCCUUAUUUCUGCUGUAGGGCAACACGCUGCAAGUGUUCGUCAAAUUGUUAGUAUCAAUGCCUCAAUUCUAACAGAGAAUUUUCCGUAGGAGCACAUAGCAUUAAUCAAGAAUCAACUCGGCAAUUUUUGGAUCAGACAAGGUAACUAAUCUAAUAAAUUCCCCCUGUGUAUGCUGCAAUACAGUAAUGUUUUACUUUAGUUAAGUUGGUACUUCAAAAUGAUGAUCUUUUCACAAGGUGUGAUGUGGUCACAUAUUUACCUAGAUCUACCUUCUAAAUCAUAAUCCGUUUAAUAUGGAGAUAUCUAUUUGCACAUUCAGAGAUAAUUACAUUAAUGUAAAAACAGGGCUACCCUCCUUAAGCAUAUUUAUUAAAAGAUCAAUUAUCUAUUUAUUGGAUCGGUCCAUAUUAAUGAUGCUCUAUUUGCAUUGAAAAUAGCUUGGUUGUGAAAGAUGAUAUAUCUUGGCAAUUGGGCAUAGUGACUAAAAAGUCUAUAAAUGUUAGAUGUCUAGGAAUGUUGCGAAAUUCUUUUAUUUACUAGAUAUAAAAUUAUCCAUCCAUUAUUUUCUGUUUAUAUGCCAACUCUGGGCAAUCGAAGAACUUUUUCCACUCCUUUCUAAAAGGUAUGCCCAAGUUAUUUUUCUGUAACUAUACACUAGAACACACACACACACACACACACACACACCUGACUAUGUUCCUGGAGGUGAGCAUAUAUGUUUAAGCUCAUGUCAGUUGCAGCAUUUCCUUGAUUCGACAUUUAUAUAAUGAUGCAGUGGUCAUAUUUGGAAGCUCAUUCCUGUAAACUACUACUCCUUCCUAUCCAAAAUAAUUAUUGCAGUUUUGAACAGGGUUUAGUUCAAAACUGUGAUACGUUUUAUGGAUCGGAGGUAGUACUCCCUCCGUCCGGGAAUACUUGUCAUCAAAAUGGAUAAAAGGGGAUGUAUCUAGAUGUAUUUUAGUUCGAGAUACAUCUCUUUUUAUCCAUUUUGAUGACAAGUAUUUUCGGACGGAGGGAGUAUGAUGCAUGUCCGCUGUUUAGAAUUGAUUGCAUUGUUUAAUAGUAACUGAUAUAUUUCCGAACUCCUUUCGGAUGUAGCAGCAAGAAGAUAAGGCACUCCACAGAAAAAAAUACAAUCUACUCUAAGGGUUUUAGUUCUAAAUAUGACAGAUAUGUUUUUCAUGGUGUAGAAUUAAAAAUCUAUUGGUGUUGGAAAUGCGACAUUGGGAUCCCAAUCCCUUGCUUUUAUUUGUAACGCCCAUGGUGAUCAAACCCUAAAGAUCUACAAACCACCUCAAGAUAGCUACAUGUACGUGGUUGUAAAACACUUCUUUUGGCAUAAGCAUUUAAUAUGAAAUGGCUGACAUAAUGCAAUGCUUUUUCAUAACUUCAAUGAACUUUUCUGAACUAGAGAUUCAGAUCAAGAAAUUCAGUGGCUAAGAAAUUCAAUUACGAUUAAAAUAAAAAAAAAGUAUUUGCGGCUUUACAACAGAUAAAAACUGGAACAUACACCUAUGCAUUUAGAAGUUGUGCUCACAAUCUUUCUUUUAUUUGGAGGGAUGCAUAGUCUAGACUUGCGCAAUAUUGUCUUUCAUUUUUCUUUUCUAACAUUCCCAUAAAUGUUAAAUAUCAAAUGAUUGUUACCAGCUUGCAUUAGAGUUUGAAAAGUGUGCUAUAUGCAGAUUUUCUUAUUGGCUAAUUAGAGUGCACCAAAUGUAAUUUUCCAAUAAAUAUUGCUAUUUCAAAGAGAGAUGGUGGUAUGUUGUUUUCCAUGUACAUCAAUAUGGUUGUGGUUAAUUCUGUUCUAUAAGAAGUCUCUUGAUGGGUACCAAUCCAUGUUUUAUUUUCAGAUUCAGGACCGUGCAUGCUUCUCACCUUAAUAGACACAUGACAUUAAUCAAGCAUAUUUGUGCAUGUUUCCACAAUAAGGUAUACAUAAUUUAGACUGGGGUAUAUAUGCCAGGUUAGUUUAUCCUAUGGUUUAAACCUUUAUUUGGUAGGUAUCAGUCAUCUGAAGACAUGCGGGUGAAAAUAUUUGGUGACCAAGCCGGGCUGCCUUUGUCGAUGAUGAAGAGAAAUUUUUGGGCUGCCUCGAUUUGGGACAGUGAUGACGUCCGAGUUGGAUCUUGGGGAUGACAAAACCCCUACAUGCAUGCCGGUGGCAAAAGCGCCGCCGACUGAGUUAUCAUGUGUGCACAAACAUAUACUUAUAUUCUUUUUAAUUUCACUCACUAAUUAUUAUCUCUCUCACUAACAACACUUAUUGAGCCCAAAUAAUUACAUGUUUUCCAAGAUUUUAACAUUUUUCACUAACAGGCAUUUCCUUAAUUACGUUAUACUAUUGGUUCAGUCACAGAAACAAAGGAAGCGGUUAUGAAAAAAAGUAUGACAGUCAGGAAAAGGAAAAAGGGGACCUUCAAAGUUCAAAGAAUGUUGCCGAUGUGGAGGAUGUGUCUGGCCGGCGCUGGGGCAGAAAACGACUACACUAUCCUCAUACUAAAGAUGGAUCAAAGCAGCUGUGGGAGAAGAAAUCCACGGCAAAAUCACCUGCACGGAUAUUGACAGCAACAACACCGUGCAGCUUGAUGAUCUCACCUCCUCCCUUGCGCAGCUACACCUUGGGCCUGCUACCCCUCCAUCGCCAUUACCAGCCUAGGAGGAGACCGAGGAGGCGUACGAGGAGACAAACAAGCCACCGUCGAAGUUCACCCUAUGGCCGCACAGGCGAAUCGAGCUGCGGGGGUGGCUACAGGUGAGGACAAGCAAGCUCAAGGGAGGGAAUCAAGGAAUCAAGCUGAUGGGAGCUACCGGAAGCAGAAAUUUUGGAGUGAGAAAGGGGAUCGGGCAAGGGCAAGACCAAGAGCAACAUGUGUAUGUGUGAAAGCGUGAAUGGGAAAGAGGAUUUCAUUUUAUGUGUCGGAAAGAUGUGUGGUCGCUAAGUACAUCUGAGUGAGCCUGCUUGGUUAAAUCUCAUAAUAUUCCACUAGCAGAAAAAAAAGAACUUUUCCAAAAGCAACACAAAAAAAUACUCGGAACAGAAGACUACAUAAAAGGGAA